RNAcentral lists this ribosomal RNA (293 nucleotides) under uncultured bacterium. RNAcentral's name for it is "partial 16S ribosomal RNA". It matches the Rfam family "Bacterial small subunit ribosomal RNA", at positions 505 to 796 of the family's 1533-position model. The record is from RNAcentral.
GUGCCAGCAGCCGCGGUAAGACGUAGGGUCCAAGCGUUGUCCGGAUUUACUGGGCGUAAAGCGCGCGUAGGCGGUCUGUUAAGUGCACAAGUGAAAGCUCCGGGCUCAACUCGGAAAUUGCUUUGCAUACUGGCAGGCUGGAGGGACGCAGAGGUCUGUGGAAUUCCUGGUGUAACGGUGAAAUGUGUUGAUAUCAGGAGGAACACCCAUGGCGAAGGCAGCAGACUGGGCGUUUCCUGACGCUGAGGCGCGAAAGCGUGGGUAGCAAACAGGAUUAGAUACCCUGGUAGUCC